This 1838-nucleotide long non-coding RNA is filed under the name Nicotiana tabacum (common tobacco). RNAcentral's name for it is "long non-coding RNA (NTAB_LNC018617)". The record is from RNAcentral. Lineage: Eukaryota; Viridiplantae; Streptophyta; Magnoliopsida; Solanales; Solanaceae.
AAGAAUGUCCGAACUCCCCUUCAUUAAACCUAGUAUCCCAUUGCGUUUCACUUCACCUCCUUCAGAGAAACCCCCCAUGCCCUCUCUGCCAUUUCCGCCGGUGCAACCUCCAAACCACCGCCAAACCUCGACCAAAAUCACAACCCCAGACUCCUUUUCAUACCCCUCUCUACAAAUUCCCCAGUAACUUCCCUUGAAUCACCACUAAACGAGGAUAAUUUCAGAUCUAAAAAGGGCCGAGGAGCGAAAGAAAAAUCUCCCAAAUCUUUGCAGGCUUCGAUGACUCGGCUAGGUCUGUAAUUGUUGUUUCUCGCCGGUUUAACAAGAACCCACGACUAAUAUCAAUUACGGUUCAAAAUCUAAGGAGUCAGAGAUCCUUUCAAGCCAUCUCCAUCCUUUGAUUUAGGUAUUUAAGUUUUUCUUUUGUUCUUCUCAUCUUCAUCUCUUCCGAUUUUCUGCUUCUUUUUCCUCUGUUUCUUUUUUGGGGUUAAUUGUUCUGUACACCUUUAAGAUUGAGUUAUAAUUGGUUUAAAAUAAUUGCUUUAUUAAACAUGUGUCGAUAUUUUAAGUUAUUUUCGAAAAAAAGAUAAGGAAAAAUGGUCUCAUGUUUCAAAUUCUGUGUUAAUUUGUUUGGACAGCCCGAUUAUAAUUUGAAUUGGGCUCAAAAUCAGAAGUCCAAGGGAGGGGGAAUUAAGUUGGGUUGACAGGCCCAAUUUUAGAACUUGGACUUUGGGCCAGCACCGACCCAUUUGGCUUCCCGCAGUAAAAACAGGGGUAUUGAGGGUUAAGGAAUAUAUCUGUUAACUGAUUAGGAAGCUGCUAGGAAGGUGUCUUGGGGACUUCACUAAAAAUACUGAUUUUAAGCUAGGGAUUGAAUAGCAAAAAGGAAAAUAUCAAAAGGUUUUAAGUGCAAAUAAGAAUCCCUUUUAUGCUGCCAUAAUAACUUGCCUAUAAAGGCAACCUUGCUUGCUUUUGAAGGCAGAAAAAAAUGACAAAAAGCACAAGCGGCUGGGGGAGUGAUUCUGAAAAAACACUGAAAUUCUGUAUCACUUGGGGUGGGAAUUGAUUUUGAAUCUGCUCCCUAAUCUUAAGUUUCAACUAGAAUUUGAAAAGGCUUCAACGAAUCCUUGUUUUAUCUGGGAAAAAUGGUUCAAAAAGCUGAAAUUGCUGGAUUUUUGGAAGCUGUUUGAUUGGUUUUACUGUUGAUCUCUGCUGCUAUACUUGCUAGCCUUGUGUCGUUCUAAGCUGAUUCUCAAGCUUUUGUUUAUCUUUGUUGUAACCAGGUACUCAUUCGACCUCAAUAACAUGUUGAAAUAGGAAUGAGAAUGUUGAUGGCACCAUGUUUUUAUGACAAUCUAUUUCAGAUUAUUUGGUUUUGUAUUCACGUGAGCCUUGUUGAUUAACUUCUGUGUAUUUUAAUAGCUGAUUCGAGUGGCUGUAGUACUCUACUAAAACUAAGUGUUGUAGUUUUAAUGUUGAUUAGUAGUAAGUCCUGGUCUCUGUUGUUCUAGCGUGUAAGAGAUGUGUAUUUCAUCUCAAAUUGGUUGAAAUUGUUAGAAAAAUCGAAGUACGAUACCUAUUUGAAUUAGUUUGAUCCCGGUUUUUAGCUAUGAAUGUUCGUGUUGGUGAAUCUAAUCAUGUUAGGCUUAAUUGAGAUUGGUUAAAUUCCCGUUUAAAUUUUGCAGAUUGCUUGGAAAUAAGAAUUGUUGGAAAUUUUUCAUAUGUCACCAGCUUGGUCACUAUUUUGUUUGAUAGCUAUUAGUGGUCCGUGUAAUCGCUGGAGCCUUACAUUGAAAUAUAAGGUUGAAUUGCUAAGUUAGAACUUAUCAUGUUUAUUC